This 768-nucleotide ribosomal RNA is filed under the name uncultured archaeon. RNAcentral describes it as "bacterial SSU rRNA". It matches the Rfam family "Archaeal small subunit ribosomal RNA", at positions 1 to 770 of the family's 1478-position model. The record is from RNAcentral.
UUCCGGUUGAUCCCGCCGGAGGCCAUUGCUAUCGGAGUCCGAUUUAGCCAUGCUAGUCGAGCGAGGUUAGCCCUCGCGGCGAACAGCUCAGUAACACGUGGCCAAGCUACCCUGCAGAGGGGGACAGCGUCGGGAAACUGACGGGAAUCCCCCAUACCGGUCUCACGCUGGAAUGCCGAGACCGACAAACGCUCCGGCGCUGCAGGAUGCGGCUGCGGCCGAUUAGGUAGUCGGUGGGGUAACGGCCCACCGAGCCAAUAAUUGGUACGGGGUGUGAGAGCACGAGCCCGGAGACGGAAUCUGAGACAAGAUUCCGGGCCCUACGGGGCGCAGCAGGCGCGAAACCUUUACACUGCACGAACGUGCGAUAAGGGGACUCCGAGUGCGAGGGCAUACAGUCCUCGCUAUUGUGUACCGUAGGGUGGUACACGACCAAGAGCUGGGCAAGACCGGUGCCAGCCGCCGCGGUAAUACCGGCAGCUCGAGUGAUGGCCGAUUUUAUUGGGCCUAAAGCGUCCGUAGCUGGCCCUGCAAGUCCGUCGGGAAAUCCACUCGCCUAACGAGUGGGCGUCCGGCGGAAACUACAGGGCUUGGGACCGGAAGACUUGAGGGGUACGUCUGGGGUAGGAGUGAAAUCCUGUAAUCCUGGACGGACCGCCGAUAGCGAAAGCACCUCAAGACGACGGAUCCGACAGUGAGGGACGAAAGCUAGGGUCUCGAACCGGAUUAGAUACCCGGGUAGUCCUAGCUGUAAACGAUGUUCGCUAG